This 899-nucleotide ribosomal RNA is filed under the name uncultured bacterium. Its description in RNAcentral is "bacterial SSU rRNA". It matches the Rfam family "Bacterial small subunit ribosomal RNA", at positions 8 to 916 of the family's 1533-position model. The record is from RNAcentral.
AGAGUUUGAUCAUGGCUCAGGAUGAACGCUGGCGGCGUGCUUAACACAUGCAAGUCGAACGAUGAAGCCGGAGCUUGCUCUGGUGGAUUAGUGGCGAACGGGUGAGUAACACGUGAGUAACCUGCCCUUGACUCUGGGAUAAGCGUUGGAAACGACGUCUAAUACCGGAUACGACGCGCGAAGGCAUCUUCUGCGCGUGGAAAGAAUUUCGGUCAAGGAUGGACUCGCGGCCUAUCAGCUAGUUGGUGAGGUAACGGCCCACCAAGGCGACGACGGGUAGCCGGCCUGAGAGGGUGACCGGCCACACUGGGACUGAGACACGGCCCAGACUCCUACGGGAGGCAGCAGUGGGGAAUAUUGCACAAUGGGCGCAAGCCUGAUGCAGCAACGCCGCGUGAGGGACGACGGCCUUCGGGUUGUAAACCUCUUUUAGUAGGGAAGAAGCGAAAGUGACGGUACCUGCAGAAAAAGCACCGGCUAACUACGUGCCAGCAGCCGCGGUAAUACGUAGGGUGCAAGCGUUAUCCGGAAUUAUUGGGCGUAAAGAGCUCGUAGGCGGUUUGUCGCGUCUGCUGUGAAAACUGGAGGCUCAACCUCCAGCCUGCAGUGGGUACGGGCAGACUAGAGUGCGGUAGGGGAGAUUGGAAUUCCUGGUGUAGCGGUGGAAUGCGCAGAUAUCAGGAGGAACACCGAUGGCGAAGGCAGAUCUCUGGGCCGUAACUGACGCUGAGGAGCGAAAGCGUGGGGAGCGAACAGGAUUAGAUACCCUGGUAGUCCACGCCGUAAACGUUGGGAACUAGAUGUAGGGACCAUUCCACGGUUUCUGUGUCGCAGCUAACGCAUUAAGUUCCCCGCCUGGGGAGUACGGCCGCAAGGCUAAAACUCAAAGGAAUUGACGG